This 599-nucleotide long non-coding RNA is filed under the name Numida meleagris (helmeted guineafowl). RNAcentral's name for it is "lncRNA (ENSNMEG00000017805.1)". The record is from RNAcentral. Lineage: Eukaryota; Metazoa; Chordata; Aves; Galliformes; Numididae.
AUCAUUGGAGAAACUGCAAAAGGCAUAAUGUAGAGAUGACUGAGGAAAAAAAAGAUUAUCUGUUCUUACAGAUUUUGCAUUGAUAUGUUUGGUUACCAGUGAUGGAGAGGAAGGAAUUCACAGGGAGUUGCCAACAGAGUACAGCAAAGUUUGGGCUCUGAAAGGCACUACUCUGAAUAUCAUCAAACGGUUACCCUGUUGGAGGAGCUGCACCCUCCCACUAUCAAGAAACAAGCAGCCCCAGAUCAUUAGUCUGCCUGAAGGAGGCUCUGCACACUGCCAAGAAGAGGCCUAAGCUGAGAUGGUUUGGGGGCAGGUGGAAAGAACAGUCUGCACUUAACAUCUGCUUUAAUCCUGAAGAUAUCCCAUGAAAAGAGGCUAUGCUACUGCUGCAAAGAAUUUUUAUGAUUUUAACGAGGCAGUAUAUGGUAACCCUGUAACUAGCUCAGAAUAUAUUUAUUACUCCAGUUGUGCUGUUUUUUUUUUUUUUUACUGAAAAUGCAGAUACAGUUUGCAGCAGUAGAAAAGGAUAUAAAAUACCUCUGGUGAAAACAAGCUUUUUCAAGGGAUGAGAAAGUUCAGGCUGGGUAGCAGUGAAG